CCUACGGGAGGCAGCAGUGAGGAAUAUUGGUCAAUGGGCGAGAGCCUGAACCAGCCAAGUCGCGUGAAGGAUGACGGCCCUACGGGUUGUAAACUUCUUUUGUCAGGGAGCAAUUGGGUCCACGCGUGGGCUUAGCGAGAGUACCUGAAGAAAAAGCAUCGGCUAACUCCGUGCCAGCAGCCGCGGUACUACGGAGGAUGCGAGCGUUAUCCGGAUUUAUUGGGUUUAAAGGGUGCGUAGGCGGAAUAUCAAGUCAGCGGUAAAAAUUCGGGGCUCAACCCCGUCGUGCCGUUGCAACUGAUGUUCUGGAGUGGGCGAGAAGUAUGCGGAAUGCGUGGUGUAGCGGUGAAAUGCAUAGAUAUCACGCAGAACUCCGAUUGCGAAGGCAGCAUACCGGCGCCCAACUGACGCUGAAGCACGAAAGCGUGGGUAUCGAACAGGAUUAGAUACCCCAGUAGUC
This 460-nucleotide ribosomal RNA is filed under the name uncultured bacterium. RNAcentral describes it as "partial 16S ribosomal RNA". It matches the Rfam family "Bacterial small subunit ribosomal RNA", at positions 338 to 795 of the family's 1533-position model. The record is from RNAcentral.